CUCGGACGCGCAACGGGCUCAAAGCGGAGAACGCUGGCCGGGUCAAUAAACGCAAGGAUCCUUGCUUGGCUGGCAAGGUCGUCGCGAAGGUGGAACAAUUGUCUGACUUAAUGUCCGUCUACGCUCCUCAGGGUCAGUGAGCACCUUCGAUACAGCUUGACAUUCGUAAAGCGUGCAUGGCUCUAAACUCAUCGCUAUUCGUCCACUUUAUGGCUUUUUCAACGCUGGGAACCUUCGUCGAUAGAUCGAGAACAUCCAGGCACUCGGGUUGAAGUCGCCGAAGGUCGACGUUACCGAAGGUUUUUCGGCGUUACCAAUCGCGAGGCGACAAUGACUUUAAAUUCAAAUCCUGUAGGUACACCGCGACGAAGCGUAGUGCAAACGAGGCCAAAGUGAAAAGCCCGACGUGUUCCGUUGCUGUAUCUACAUUGUACGCUUAUGCGCGCGAGUAAACACCUCGGCGACAGCUGUUUGUCGAAGAAGCAUUCAGUUUUUACGCCACGAAUGCUCCAUCUGC
Molecule: long non-coding RNA, 517 nt
Organism: Hylaeus anthracinus
Lineage: Eukaryota; Metazoa; Arthropoda; Insecta; Hymenoptera; Colletidae
Exons: 3
Source: RefSeq, a predicted model, not a curated record